RNAcentral lists this ribosomal RNA (301 nucleotides) under uncultured bacterium. RNAcentral describes it as "partial 16S ribosomal RNA". It matches the Rfam family "Bacterial small subunit ribosomal RNA", at positions 509 to 807 of the family's 1533-position model. The record is from RNAcentral.
CAGCCGCCGCGGUAAUACCGAUGGUGCGAGCGUUAAUCGGAUUUACUGGGCGUAAAGCGUGCGUAGGCGGCUUUUUAAGUCGGAUGUGAAAUCCCUGAGCUUAACUUAGGAAUUGCAUUCGAUACUGGGAAGCUAGAGUAUGGGAGAGGAUGGUAGAAUUCCAGGUGUAGCGGUGAAAUGCGUAGAGAUCUGGAGGAAUACCGAUGGCGAAGGCAGCCAUCUGGCCUAAUACUGACGCUGAGGUACGAAAGCAUGGGGAGCAAACAGGAUUAGAGACCCCAGUAGUCCCUGUCUCUUAUAC